UUUUUUUUUUCUUUUUUUCCUUUUUUUUGCUUUUUAGGGCUGCGCCAGUGGCAUAUGGAGGUUACCAGGCUAGAGGUUGAAUUGGAGCUACAGCUGCCGGCCUACGCCACAGCCACAGCAAUGCAGGAUCCCAGCUACAUCUGGGACCUACACCACAGCUUGCCAGAUCCUUAACCCCAGUGAGUGAGGCCAGGGAUUGAACCCACACCCUCAUGGUUCCUAGCUGGAUUUGUUUCCACUGUGUCACCAUAGGCACUCCUGUGGUCCCUUCCACCUCUCUUCCUCAAUACCCAAGAGGAGUGAAGGUCUGCUCUCAGGCCCGUGCUUCCUGAGGCAGCCCAGCACCUCGCCCUCCAUGUGCUUUCUGCUGCCAGGCUCACUCUGUCCGCUUCUCUCUGGGUUCUCUCCCCUUGUGGCUUGGUGAUAGACAUGGAGCCUAUACCAGCUCCCCACUAGAUUUUGAGACAAAUGCUCUCCAGUUCCUUCCCCUCUGUUUCAUGCUCGCUUAAGCCUCUUGUCAGCAGAUGUGCAGUAAGAGGAAUAAGAUUCAGAUCCAUGCUGUGGAGUAGAAGUAAGCAGAGCAGGCAUUUAACUCCUUUCAUCCUAAGCUGCUUGGGCUUAGGUAAACAGUUCCUGGUGGAUGCUUUCCAGCUCCCUGGAAUUCUUCAUUAGGGAUACAUACACAUCAGAGGGGCCAUGGGCUAUUUUCUUACUAUGUUUUAUUCUCUUCGAUUGUCAUUUAUUACAGGAUAUUGACUAUAGUUCCCUGUGCUACACAGUAGAACCUUGUUAUUUAUUUAUACAUAGCAGUUUGUAUUUGCAAAUCCCAAACUCCUAAUUUCUCUUCCCCACCCCCUUUCCCUUUUAGUAACCAUAGAUUUGUUUUCUAUGUCUGUGAGCCUUUUUCUGUUCUGUAUUCUUACUAUUUUCUUCAUGCAUAUUUUUUUCCAGGAUCUGGUGAAGAAGAUUGCUAGUAAGAGGCUGGAUCCACUGAUUCCCAGAUCACAGAUCUAAUAUGAUCAAAAUGCCACCUUAAUCACAACCCAGCAGCCCAACACUCUAUUUCAAAAAGAAAUUUUUAAGAGCCAGUAAAUAAUUUUCAUCCCCUCUUUUUCCUUUCCCUCAACCAUGGUAACUGGUAAAGUUUCAGAUGGUGGCUAUUCCAUCAGCAUGGAUUCCAGAGAAGGAGACCUGAGCAUAGUAGGCAUGUAACGUAAGGGGAGAAGCAAAUUUUGUUGCCAUCAACAACUAGGAUUUCACAGUUGUUUGUUACCCACAUUAUUCUAACACGUGGCUGUUGGCGGUGGUGGUGGUUGUGUUUCAGGUGGUUGUGUUUCAGGUCUAAGUGGUACCUCACAUUUGGUGCAUCAAACCCUGUAAGUGGCAACAUAACCAGUAUCAUCUCCUUGAGAAUGGCCUAAGAGAUGACUCAAACUAGCAUCUUCCGACCUCCCAGCAGAUACCGACUCUGCAAUCUACAGUAAAAACUGCUCUCAGUGAAAAAUCUUCUCAAGUCCCUUCUGAGAAGGUAAGACCUGUGGCAGAUGGGUUCACUGCUGCUCCCACAAUCUAGGGCCAGCGUCCCACCUACUGACGCAUAUGAUAAUCCAGAUGCCUAAGCUUUUGUCUACACCCAUUUUACAUAUAAGCUGUAAACAGAAAACAUCUCUGCCCUAAUAUCCCUCUCCAUUUCAGACAGUACAGUGCCGUUAAUAAUCCCACUUUCAUUGUUCAAAAAUCAAGUGUUGGCAGUUAAAUAGGCAUUUUCGCAGCCUCUACAAACAGCCAUCCUGCCUAUUCACAUUUUCAAGGACAACUUCACAAGGUGACUUCCUUCAUUGGAACAUCAAAAAAUGUUAAAAAUUCUUCCUUAUAAAAGGUUGAAAGUUGCCUCUACAUUCUUUUAUUUUAUUCUAACUUGUUUUGUUGUGUGUUUUUUUAGGGCUGCACCCACAGCAUAUGGAGGUUCCCAGUUCAGAAUAAUCCCAGUGGUAGGAAAAAAAGCUGCCCCUACACAAAUGGAAUUAGAUUUAGAGAGACCGAGGCAGGAAGCCAGCCUGGGCUUUCCUUGUUCUGCUCUCUUUCCUGUAGGUUUCUAUCUUCAGUAAAGACUUGUUCCAAAUAACGUCUUAUCUCGGAUCAUUAAAACCCAUUCGUCUGCAAAAGAGGCAAGGACCUGGGUCUUUUUUUUGCUUACCUUUCUAUCAGCAUUCCCUGGCCCUGGCCCUAGGAAAUAUUAGGCACUCAACAGCUACUUGUUGAAUGAAUGAUGAAAUGGUUAUGUUGGAGAUUAGAAAAUGGUUUAGGCUUAUUUUAGGGCUUCCAGGAGGAAAUAUUUACGUAACUUAAAAUGUGCAAAGGGUAAUGUCUUAUUUCAGAAUGACAUCAGGAUGCAGGGAGACCCAAUUCUAUGUUUUCCUGGGUAGGGAGAAGGAACAUUCCAUCCAAGGACGGCAGUGAGGGAAGACUGGUAGGACAGCAGCAUCCUGGCUCCACAUGGACAUUGUGUUCAGAACAAGAAUCCAGGGAAACACGAGGCUGGAAAGCAGUACACAGCCUCCUUGCAACAGGCAGGGGCGUGGUUUUCCAUGUGUGCUGAGGCUGGGGUCCAGUGGGUGCAGGAGACAACUACCAGGCGGUGAACAGACAGUGGAAUGUGAACAGCGGGUUCAGUCAAUGGCUCGUUCUCUGUCACUACUCCAACCUGCACUGCUCCACCUUCAAAACGUCCGACACACUUCAGGCACCAGUAACUGCUUGCGAAAUGCUUGCUCACUUAUCCUUAACUGAUCUUGAACUAUCUCAGGGAACUGGGUAAUUUGAGCUUAUCAUACUGUCUCUUCCCAAAGAAGUCCUGACUCCUGACCUUCAGGCUAAGAUCCCCUUUGACUUCAUUUGAAAUUAAGGUCAAGAUAAAACUAACCCAAUUUCUUAGCGGUCCCAGAAAUCAAGGCUCACUUUGGUCUGAGCCAGGCUUCUCAGGGCUGCUCUAAGCACUUCAGGUUCUACCUCUAAUACAAAGGGAAGUCCAAAGUGAAUUUAUCUUGGGUUGAGGCGAGUGAAGGGAAUUGUUUUCGUCUUCAGCAGCCUGUAUUCAUUUACAUGGCUGUUCUAAUUUAUCAAUAUUAUUGUUUUACGAUGGAGAAUUUUAAAUACACUCAAAAGUAGAUAAAAUGAUACAAGGAAUUCCCAGGUAUCCACCUGGUGCCAAUAACCAUAAGCCCACGACCAGUCUUGCCAUAUCCUGCCCUCCAUGCAUCCCUUCCCCAGCACUACGUUGAAGCAGAUCCCAAGUAUCAUGGCGUCAUCUAUAAAUAUUUCAGUGAGAAUCUCUAAAAGACAAUAACUUGCAUCUUUUAAUGGCCACACCCACAGCACAUAGCUGUUCGCAGGCCAGGGACUGAAUCGGAGCCAAAGCUGAGAAUCACACUGCAGCUGCCACAACGCCAUAUCCUUUAACCCGCUGGGCUGGGCUGGGGAUCGAACUCACAGUGACCCAAGCCACUACAGUCAGAUUCUUAACCCACGGUGCCACAGCAGGAACUCCCAAUAACUCGUCUCUAAAUACAACUAAAAUAUCAUUAUCAUACCUAAUAACAAUUCCUUAAUGACAAACAUGUACUGUUGACUAUUUGUCUCUUAAAUUUUACUAACAGGUUUUCUUCACCAUGUUUAUUUUAAUCAGGAUCCAAAUGAGAGCCAGAUGUAGUAAAUGACUAUGGUCUUUUGAGUCUCUUUUAAUUGUGAGGUUCCACUCUGAUCUCUUUUUUCUUCCUACUGCAAUUUAUUUGUUGAAGCAUUGUGCUUUUACGUACUUUCCAAUUCUCACAGUCUGAGUUUGAGUAACCUCCUCAGUAUGUUCUAACAUGUUCUCCUGUCCUCUGUAUUCCCUGCCAAUUGGAGUCAGAUCUAGAAGUUUGAUCAAACCCAAGUAUAUGGGUUUUUUGCAAUAUAUUAAUUUCUACCAAAAUAAAAAAAAUCCUACCAGAGUAAUCUCAGUUUUGGGCAAAAACUUGACAAAUUCUUCUAGAAUCUGAACUAUAAGAUGUUGUAUAAAGCAUCAAAAAUUUAGAAUUUAUAUCUAGACAUAGGACUCUGGUUUCCAUGGAUACAACACACAGACGCACACACCACUACCACCAAAAAUAAACAGAAAAAAGUUCAAAUAAUAACAAAGAUAACAGCAAAAACAAAACCUGAAACUAUGGGAACAAUAAAUUCAAAUUAACAUCAGUACCUACCUAAGAAAUGUCAAAAUAUGAAUAUUUGCAUGCUGGAAAGCUCUUUCUAGAAGGCUUGGAUGCUCAAAACCCUAUUUUUGAUGCAGCUGAGCCCAGGUUUUGGUUCAGUUUGCCUCAACUACCACUAGAGGGAGAGCAAGAUACAUCUGAAAAACCUCUUUAAAAAACAGGCCUCAAAACUUGAAAGGUUUAAUUUUUUUUAGUUUAUUUUACAUAUCAAAAUUCAAUAUUAUUAUUUAUUUUGUUUUACAAGUAAACGUUAUACUAAAGUGUUUUAUAUCUGAGAUAUACCUAUAAUGUAGAGAAAAAAAAAACACACACCCUUUGUAUGUUCUGUACAAAGUAUAUUACAUAAAAUAUACCUCUCAAGUUUUCCUUAACUUCAGUCUUUUUUUAAAACAGGAGAGGUGUAAGAACCUAAGUAAAACUUAUUUUAUGGUGGCUCAAUUAAGGUGGUUUUUUUAGAGAUUAUAAGCACUUUUAAAGAAUACAAUACUCUACCUUCCAAAUUAUAGUUUUAAAACAUUAAACUGUAAAAUAAACAUAAAGAAAUCCAAAAAAUUUCUAGUUUUCCAAUAAUGAUUACUUAUUUCAGAGGGGUUGGGGAGCUAUAUCAAAUACUUCCCCUCCAAAAAGUAAGUAAAUACUCCACUGCCAGGCUAAGCACCUGCUUCAUCAGCCUUGGAGUGAUCAGCUUCACCUCCUAUCCUGCAAAUAAUUAGCUAAAAAUGUCAGAACUAACUGCUCCUUCCACCACAAAAUAGACACUCUCCUUAUAAUGCUUUUACAUUAACAUACCUUUUUAAGACUUAUAACCCAUUUCCACGUGCUAUUUCAUUUAUCCUCAAAACUUUGUAAUUGGAGAUUAUUAAUCCCACUUUAGAUGAAGUCAACACUUCAAGCAGUGAGGGUUCCACAUUGCAAUCGGCACAAACAGGACUCAAAUCCAGAGCUUCUAACACAAAACUCAGGUACUCUGUGACUCCACAGACAAAGCCACUGCUAACAAUUUCAGUCCCCCCAUGAGCCAGCAUUUUUCUUGUUGUCGAUGCCUAUGAGACUGCAAAAGCAUCAAAGUGAGACCUAUGUCCUCUACCUGAGUAAACCUGGCCGGGGAGUUCCCAGCAUGGCUCAGCGGAAACAAAUCUGACUAGGAUCCAUGAGGACGCAGGUUUGAUCCCCGGCCUUGCUCUGUGGGUUAAGGAUCCGGCGUUGCUGUGAACUGUGGUGUAGGUCACAGAUGCGGCUCGGAUCUGGCGUUGCUAUGGCUGUGGUGUAGGCCAGCAGCUGUAGCUCUGAUUCAGUCUCUAGCCUGGGAACCUUCAUAUGCCAUGGGUGCAGCCCUAAAAAGGCAAAAUGAAUAAACGAAUGAAUAAAUUUUUAAAAAUUAAAAAAUAAUAAUAAAACAAAAACAAACCUGGCAGGGUGCUGUGGAGGCCUAUGCUGAAUGGCCAGUCUUUGUGCCAGUGAAAGACAUACCUGAGGUUCCUCGGCUCUUUCAGGACAGAGGACUCAGAGCACAGGUUACGCUGCAACUGUGGAGGCCCCACAGGCAAGCCCAGUGGAGUACAUCUCGGGACAGCGUGCAGACAGUGCAAAGGCUGGAGUUUUCUCUUGGCAAUCAUAAAUGUGCCUUUAAUCACCAACUGUGAACUUCUCCCACCAGAUGACGGGAGCAGAGAGAAGGAGCAAGCAUGAGCCCAUGGGAAUUAAAACUCCAGUCCAGGGCCAAGCGGGGUGCUGAUGGAUUUUUAACAACCAGCUCCACCAGAGGAGAGGCAAGAAAGGCCAUGAUUUGUAGUUUGCUGUUUCCCAUGGUGUAAGUACUC
RNAcentral lists this long non-coding RNA (6070 nucleotides) under Sus scrofa (pig). RNAcentral's name for it is "lncRNA (ENSSSCG00035069108.1)". Lineage: Eukaryota; Metazoa; Chordata; Mammalia; Artiodactyla; Suidae. The record is from RNAcentral.